CCAUCCUCACAGGCUGGUCCAGGUUAACCUCCCCCUAGCCCCAGGUUUUGACAGCAUGAAAGGGAGACAUCCUCAUUUUCACCCCUGUUACAUAGGCACCCCCCAGACCUGAUAGGUGGACCUCCUAGAAACUGGGGGUCCUUGAGAGCCAAGGCCCCCACUCUAAGGGACCCUAGAGGCCAGGGCAAAGGCAUACAGACAUGGAGAAAAGCAAUGAUCUCAGCAGGAUCUCCAGGUGGUCCUUAGAGCCGGGCCUGGCGAGGUCUUCCCCACCGCCAUCCCCAGUGGGAUCACAGGUUCCCAGACUUCGGGCCGUAUUGGACUAGUCACCACACCCUUCAUCUCAAACCACACUUUGUUCCAACAAAACCACUUUGUUUUUUAAGUCUCCCUAAGUAUCAGGUUUAUCAUCUUUCUCAUAACCCCAGGGUCCCAACCAUGGUAAGCUCAUGACACCAGGACCUACUUGAUUCAAAAUUCUGGGCCAAGGUCCCCACUCUCUGAGCACAUACUUUAAUGAGGGACCCAGAAGAGGGCUGAGUCAGGGUCAAGGAAGAACAAAGAUGUUGGGAGGCUAGAGGUAUCCCCACUGUUUUCAUACCCACUUCUCUUUGGUGCCUCCGUGGGUUAAGGUCAUACAGGGUGGGUAACGGCAGCUGGUGAGCUCACCCACCUUGGCACAUGACAACG
RNAcentral lists this long non-coding RNA (690 nucleotides) under Bos taurus (domestic cattle). Its description in RNAcentral is "long non-coding RNA NONBTAT004804". The record is from RNAcentral. Lineage: Eukaryota; Metazoa; Chordata; Mammalia; Artiodactyla; Bovidae.